AUUUGCGUAUAGUUCAUUUUUCUUCUAUAAUACUUGUCAAGUAACAUUUUCAGUCAAGGUCUGUUGAGUAACUAUUCUGUACAGGGUGAUUCAAAAAACCGCUGACAGACUUCUAGAGUAGAUAAUACAUGAAAAAUUAAGAUGAAUAGUCAUAAUCAGGGUUGCAUUGCUCAAAUGAAUGAAAAUUGUAACCGUCGUCAACGCCAUCCGAUGUCACCGUCGAUAACUAAUUCUACGCAAAUUCAAAUUUAAACAACCUUUAAGGUGGCUUAUAUUUCAUUUCUUUUUUUUGUAUUCAUCUUUGAUUAAUUAAGUCAAAUUAAGUGAUGUCAAAUAUAAAUGAUAUUGAUAAAUCAGUUAAUUUUUUUAAUAAAUGUAAUUUAUGAGUGUAAUUUUGUAAUUAAGUGUAAAAAACAUUUAAAAUUUUUUAAAUGAUAAAAAUGUCGGUUAUUAAUCCUUGCUGUGUACCAUCUUGUGAUGAUAGACAUUAAAAGAUACUAUUUUCCGACCGACCCUAUUAUUCGAAUGGCUUGGCUGUCUGGAAUACACAAUUCAAAAUUAUUUGAAUUAAUUAAUGAUAAGCGUCUAAGUAAUUAUUGUGUUUGCCCCAACCAUUUUGCAACAAUGUGCAAAUAUGUUGAGAAGAAAUUGAAAAAGGUACCUACAUUAUGCUUACUAGGUAAAUGAAAUUUUGGAUAAAAAGUUUGUUUUUUAAUCUAUAUAUGUUUUUUAAAUCAUUUAGAUUUGUAAGAAGAAACUAUAAAUAAUUGCUUUUUGUCUCCACAAGAUCAACCAACAGAAGAUACUUCAGUUAUGCUGCAUGGUAUGAAAUUAAUUAUUUAGUUUCAUAAUUCAUAAUUAUAUAAUUCAUUAUAUACCAUAUUAUAUAUGUUUAUACCCCGACAUGCCAUAUAUAUAUAUUUAUACCCCCACAUAUGUAUGCCCCGACAAACUUCCUGGUGUAACUAGUUCAACUGUUGUGCAAGUCUAUCCUGGAUGUAGUAAACAACAAGGUUGCGAAAUUGCUUCAACCUCAUUUUGUGAGGAAAAUUCUGCCAUUUCAUUAGAAAUGAAUUGGAAACGGUUCCACCUAAGUGAUGAAAAAGAAAUAAUUGAUAAGAAACGGAGGAAAUUACCUUUUACAAAGAACUGCAGCAAUUGCAACCUAAGUGGAGUAAAAAAAGCGUUGUGUCGCGCUAAGAAAAAUGCCAGAAUAAUAAGGCAAAAGCUAAUACAAUUGAGGAAAAAUCCUCAGGUAUUGGUGAACCUCAAAUAUUUGAAUAAAGAAACUAGAAAUUUCUUUAGCAGCCAGUCCCGAAAUCAGAAAAAAGAAGAGCUGGCUCUUUCCAUUUACAAACAAAGUGGUAAAGGAUACCGGUUCUUAUCAAAUUUCUUUUCAUUACCAUCCAGGAAGACGCUACAAAAAUUGUUAGGUUA
Non-coding RNA from Onthophagus taurus, 1437 nucleotides. NCBI's taxonomy places the organism in Eukaryota, Metazoa, Arthropoda, Insecta, Coleoptera, Scarabaeidae. The record is from RefSeq and is a predicted model, not a curated record.